This 553-nucleotide small RNA is filed under the name Pan troglodytes (chimpanzee). RNAcentral's name for it is "retained intron". Lineage: Eukaryota; Metazoa; Chordata; Mammalia; Primates; Hominidae. The record is from RNAcentral.
UGUGAGCAGUCCUGGGUGGCAGGAUGGACAGUGACAUGUUUAGUGUCUCUAGCAGACGGCCUUUCCUGGCAGGCUAGAGUGAAAAUGAAGUUUCCAGCCGCGCUCUUCACUGGGCGGAUCCCAGCCCUGGGCUGGCCCUGGGCACUCAGAGGGGUCGCUGUGGGAGGCCGUCGGCCAGGCCUGCCACUUGCCCUUCUGCACCGUUUUCUUCCCACCCAGGCCAUCCUCUUCCUGCAGCAGCUUUUGGACUUCCAGGAGACGGCAGGCGCCAUGCUGGCCUCCCAAGUUCUUGGGGACACAUACAAUAUUCCUUUAGACCCCCGAGAGACCAGCUCUUCGGCCACCAGCUACAGCUCUGAGUUCAGCAAGCGGCUGCUAAGCACCUAUAUCUGUAAAGUGCUGGGCAACCUGCAGUUGAACUUGCUGAGCAAGUCCAAGGUGUACGAGGACCCAGCUCUGAGCGCCAUCUUCCUGCACAACAACUACAAUUACAUCCUCAAGUCCCUGGAGAAGUCUGAACUGAUCCAGCUGGUGGCAGUGACACAGAAGACUG